CGUGGGUAACCUGCCCAUAAGACUGGGAUAACUCCGGGAAACCGGGGCUAAUACCGGAUAAUAUUUUGAACUGCAUGGUUCGAAAUUGAAAGGCGGCUUCGGCUGUCACUUAUGGAUGGACCCGCGUCGCAUUAGCUAGUUGGUGAGGUAACGGCUCACCAAGGCAACGAUGCGUAGCCGACCUGAGAGGGUGAUCGGCCACACUGGGACUGAGACACGGCCCAGACUCCUACGGGAGGCAGCAGUAGGGAAUCUUCCGCAAUGGACGAAAGUCUGACGGAGCAACGCCGCGUGAGUGAUGAAGGCUUUCGGGUCGUAAAACUCUGUUGUUAGGGAAGAACAAGUGCUAGUUGAAUAAGCUGGCACCUUGACGGUACCUAACCAGAAAGCCACGGCUAACUACGUGCCAGCAGCCGCGGUAAUACGUAGGUGGCAAGCGUUAUCCGGAAUUAUUGGGCGUAAAGCGCGCGCAGGUGGUUUCUUAAGUCUGAUGUGAAAGCCCACGGCUCAACCGUGGAGGGUCAUUGGAAACUGGGAGAC
Molecule: ribosomal RNA, 540 nt
Filed under: Bacillus thuringiensis
Lineage: Bacteria; Bacillati; Bacillota; Bacilli; Caryophanales; Bacillaceae
Description: bacterial SSU rRNA
Rfam family: Bacterial small subunit ribosomal RNA
Source: RNAcentral